UUGUCAUAGGUGGAAAAUAUCCCCAUGAUUUAUGUUAUGUCAUGCAUCGCAUUUUAGGUUAAGAAGAAUCAUGACCAAAUACAUGAAAUAUAAUCUUUGAAAUACUAUUAAAAAAUAAGGAUGUAUUUUAAAUAGAUGAAUAAAAAAAUAUUGUAAUAUUUUAGUUAUCUUGGAUGCAUCAUUCGACAAAAAAAAAAAAAUAAUAUUUUUAAAAGUGCUGGGAUUAAAAAAUUAAUAUUUUUCGAAGGUUAGAAAUAAGAUUUAAUAAAAUAAAAGAUUAAAAAAUAAAUAAAUAUUGCUCUAAUAGAGAAUAAAAUGAAAAAAAUAUAUCAUGUAACAAAAUAUUCAAAGAAAACUAGUAUUUAUUGUGGUUAGAUGAUGCAAGUUGAUUAGGAUUAAUAAGGUGAGAAGAGUGAGUUCACUAGGAACAAUAAAAAAAAAUUAUUUAUAUAGAGUUCAACAAUUCGAAGGAAAAAUAAGGUUGUUAUAUAGAGGUGAGGUAAUAAUGACGAGACUCCCAUGAGUCUCUCUUGACUACUCCAACCCUAGAGUUGGUGAAAAACUUUCAAAUCAUGUAGUAAAUCAAGAUAACUAUACGCAAACGAUUGAGGGUUAGUGACCAAUGAUUGUAUUAUAGGCGAAUAAAAUAUCGAAUGACUAGAAAUUUUAUCUUCAUAAUUUUAGAGAAAUCAUCAAAUCCAAAAGUAAUAUACAAAUCUAGGGAGUUAUGGAAUCUCACUAAAGCCAAUGAGUAUAGAGGAGAUCAGUUGGAAGUCAUUUACGCUUAACCCCGA
RNAcentral lists this long non-coding RNA (794 nucleotides) under Musa acuminata (dwarf banana). RNAcentral's name for it is "long non-coding RNA (MACU_LNC009785)". Lineage: Eukaryota; Viridiplantae; Streptophyta; Magnoliopsida; Zingiberales; Musaceae. The record is from RNAcentral.